GAUGAACGCUGGCGGCGUGCCUAAUACAUGCAAGUCGAGCGAACGGACGAGAAGCUUGCUUCUCUGAUGUUAGCGGCGGACGGGUGAGUAACACGUGGAUAACCUACCUAUAAGACUGGGAUAACUUCGGGAAACCGGAGCUAAUACCGGAUAAUAUUUUGAACCGCAUGGUUCAAAAGUGAAAGACGGUCUUGCUGUCACUUAUAGAUGGAUCCGCGCUGCAUUAGCUAGUUGGUAAGGUAACGGCUUACCAAGGCGACGAUGCAUAGCCGACCUGAGAGGGUGAUCGGCCACACUGGAACUGAGACACGGUCCAGACUCCUACGGGAGGCAGCAGUAGGGAAUCUUCCGCAAUGGGCGAAAGCCUGACGGAGCAACGCCGCGUGAGUGAUGAAGGUCUUCGGAUCGUAAAACUCUGUUAUUAGGGAAGAACAAAUGUGUAAGUAACUGUGCACAUCUUGACGGUACCUAAUCAGAAAGCCACGGCUAACUACGUG
Molecule: ribosomal RNA, 497 nt
Filed under: uncultured bacterium
Lineage: Bacteria
Description: partial 16S ribosomal RNA
Rfam family: Bacterial small subunit ribosomal RNA
Source: RNAcentral